CCUACGGGUGGCAGCAGUGAGGAAUAUUGGUCAAUGGGCGCGAGCCUGAACCAGCCAAGUCGCGUGAGGGAAGACGGUCCUAUGGAUUGUAAACCUCUUUUGUCGGGGAGCAAAAGACGCCACGCGUGGCGUUCCGCGAGUACCCGAAGAAAAAGCAUCGGCUAACUCCGUGCCAGCAGCCGCGGUAAUACGGAGGAUGCGAGCGUUAUCCGGAUUUAUUGGGUUUAAAGGGUGCGCAGGCGGAAGAUCAAGUCAGCGGUAAAAUUGAGAGGCUCAACCUCUUCGAGCCGUUGAAACUGGUUGUCUUGAGUGAGUGAGAAGUAUGUGGAAUGCGUGGUGUAGCGGUGAAAUGCAUAGAUAUCACGCAGAACUCCGAUUGCGAAGGCAGCAUACCGGCGCGCAACUGACGCUCAUGCACGAAAGUGUGGGUAUCGAACAGGAUUAGAUACCCUUGUAGUC
This 459-nucleotide ribosomal RNA is filed under the name uncultured bacterium. RNAcentral describes it as "partial 16S ribosomal RNA". It matches the Rfam family "Bacterial small subunit ribosomal RNA", at positions 338 to 795 of the family's 1533-position model. The record is from RNAcentral.